RNAcentral lists this ribosomal RNA (254 nucleotides) under uncultured bacterium. RNAcentral's name for it is "partial 16S ribosomal RNA". It matches the Rfam family "Bacterial small subunit ribosomal RNA", at positions 524 to 776 of the family's 1533-position model. The record is from RNAcentral.
UACAGGGGGGGCAAGCGUUGUUCGGAAUUACUGGGCGUAAAGGGCUCGUAGGUGGCCAACUAAGUCAGACGUGAAAUCCCUCGGCUUAACCGGGGAACUGCGUCUGAUACUGGAUGGCUUGAGUUUGGGAGAGGGAUGCGGAAUUCCAGGUGUAGCGGUGAAAUGCGUAGAUAUCUGGAGGAACACCGGUGGCGAAGGCGGCAUCCUGGACCAACACUGACGCUGAGUGAGCGAAAGCCAGGGGAGCAAACGGG